AACGCUGGCGGAGGCUUAACACAUGCAAGUCGAGCGGUAACAGAGAUAGCUUGCUAUCUGCUGACGAGCGGCGGACGGGUGAGUAACGCGUAGGAAACUACCCGGUAGUGGGGGACAACCGUUGGAAACGACGGCUAAUACCGCGUACGCUCUACGGAGGAAAGGGGGCUUCGGCUCUCGCUAUCGGAUGUGCCUGCGUGGGAUUAGCUAGUUGGUGGGGUAAAAGCCUACCAAGGCGACGAUCUCUAGCUGGUCUGAGAGGAUGAUCAGCCACACUGGGACUGAGACACGGCCCAGACUCCUACGGGAGGCAGCAGUGGGGAAUAUUGGACAAUGGGCGCAAGCCUGAUCCAGCCAUGCCGCGUGUGUGAAGAAGGCUUUCGGGUUGUAAAGCACUUUCAUCAGUGAGGAAAGGGUAGUAGUUAAUACCUGCUAUCUGUGACGUUAACUGAAGAAGAAGCACCGGCCAACUACGUGCCAGCAGCCGCGGUAAUACGUAGGGACCGAGCGUNGUCCGGAAUUAUUGGGCGUAAAGAGCUCGU
Molecule: ribosomal RNA, 542 nt
Filed under: uncultured bacterium
Lineage: Bacteria
Description: bacterial SSU rRNA
Rfam family: Bacterial small subunit ribosomal RNA
Source: RNAcentral